RNAcentral lists this long non-coding RNA (3110 nucleotides) under Mus musculus (house mouse). RNAcentral's name for it is "predicted gene, 41792". The record is from RNAcentral. Lineage: Eukaryota; Metazoa; Chordata; Mammalia; Rodentia; Muridae.
GCAGCCAGCAGACUUUGCCCUCCUUGCCCAGGGCAGAAUCCACCCCCAGUAUCUUCUUGGAAGGGCUCCAGCACCUCCCAGCCAUUCUCCCUCUCAUUGCAGCAGGAGCUUUGUAGACUUCUGGUCCCUUCAUUUCUCGCUCUGUGGACGGCUGACCACUUCCUUGUGGGUAAUUAUAAAGAAUUGCACUUCAUCGCUCCUCAGCCUUGGUAAGACAAAUCACAGCCCGGAUCUUUCUGUUGUAUUAUUCAGUGGUAGGUUGUUCAUUUGCCCCGCCACUUGUUCUGUUCCGCCUUUUGAUAAAUAUUCACGACAUAUCUUUGGGCAAAGAACUGCAAGGAAGAGGUAGGACCAUUUCUGCUUUCACAGGUUUGUGUUCCUGGGAUUUAAAUGGAGGAGUGACCAGCUGGAGCUGGUAAACUAAUUCAUGCUGAAGAGUGCAUGGCAGAACUUAUACUCCAGCAUGGAGCAAGUCAUGAGAUAUGUUGGUCUGUGUCCUCAUGAACAUGGCCUAGGAAUCUGGAUAUGACUUCAGGAGAGUCGAUAAUAGUGAUGUGAGUGUGCAAAUAAGGGGUACUGACUACUAGGUGACCUCACAGGUUACAGGGAAGCUAAGGUUUGGCCUGACCAAGAAGGACGAGUUAAGCAAAGCAAUGCCUUGUUAGGCCAAUGUCACCACAGGGCAGAAAUGGCAGAGGAAGGGAACAUAGCAACUAUGAGGUUCAGGGAGAGGACAGGAAACAGUUCAGCUCACUCAAAUACACCUAUGAACAUACAACACAUCCAUGUCAACACACAUGCACACACGCCCAUAGUCAUGUAGACACGCAAACACCACAAACACGUGUGAGCACAAGGGAGUGCUGGUUGGACAAUACAUCUCUGAAAUCUUAGUGUUAAAGAGCAAAGGAGAAAGUUAUCCUGCCAUGGCCCAUACUACCCAGGAAGCAUUCGGCCUGGCAGGAGGGUCAUCUUGUAGUAUUCACAGGGGGCAGCACUCCACUUCCAUGAGCCUGUCCUCAUUCCAUUGCUUGGUUUAGACUUGGGUCCUGGCAGUGACCUUCAAAGUGAACUUAGAGGACCUCGUCCACAUCCACCUCUGAGCUGCAACAUCUGAAGAAUCGAGAUCUCCUGGAAGUCAAGUCCAAGAUAGUGCCACAAUGGCAGACUAAGAAAAUGAUUCCACCUGUGUCUAUCUUCACGGUCCAGAGAGUUUACCAGAGCUACGGAAGCAUGAGUGGGGGCUACUUAGAAGAGCAAGGGUAAAUAUACACUUUUAGGAGCACACAUUACAUAUAGCUGGACACACCACUGACCCUACCUCAACAUCACUUAGCUGUUUAUAUAUCCUGAGGAGGGGGGGGGGUUCUGCUGCCUCGCCAGCCCCUUACACUCUUCAUGACAGAUCACUAAUGGCCUCAAACUUGAGGGUCUCCUGGGGGUAAUCACAGCUGCUCUGAUUUCCAGAUGGCAGUGUCUGGUCAUGUCAUGUUUCAAGGACCGAGUUCCACAACACUUGGUGAACUCGGUUGGUUCGUGAGAUGGGCACUGUUGAUAGGCACUUUACAUGGGAGGCCCCAUUCUCUCCAUCAAUAAUUCUUGGGUUACCCUCAGCAGCAACAACAAGCAUAGUGAGAGGAAAAAAUGUGCAUCAACAUGGAAGGCACACAAAUAGCACCCAAACUAAAUACUCUAGUUUGCUUUGCAACAUUUUAUAUAAAGGCACUUAUGCCAUUUUUUUCUUUCACAAAUACUAACUAUUUUAUUAGAGAUUGAAUUUGCUUUCCAGUUUGAAGAAUCAAAGGCUAUCUUAGCUUAAAAUAGCUUCUCAGAACACAAACAUUUAAUUCAGUGAAAAAUUCUGCCUCCUUUAGCUAAAACAGGCUACAUAGCCGAAUGUCCUUUGUGCUGCCAAGAGGUCGUAGGAGGUUUUUCUGUUGAUCCUUUUGCAAAGCAUAAAUGUUCCUUUGUGCAAAAGGAGGUUGCCCCGAGUGUGAGUUGCUAGGAAGCAGGAUGAUAACCACAUUCCUGUGGAGCUGACACUUAAUGCUUCCUGACUUCAGUGUGUGGGCUAGCAGGCCAUGCACAGGUAAUAAGGACAAGAGCAGUCCCCUCUGCCCCAUUCACUAGUAAAGAUGAACAUAAAGAAGAAUGCUUGCCGAGCAAGGCCUCAUCAUGUGCCUUGAUGAAGUGGCCCUGGCAAAACUGAAACCAGUACAGUUGUUGAGCUUUGUAGAGGCACAGGGAGCAAAGCUGGAACUCAGUAUCAGAGCCACAAAGGCCCCAACGUGAAGGCGCAGGGAAACCAGGAGAUAUUACAUGGCAGCAGAGGGAUCUGUGUAUUAGUACACUUCCCAGUAUCCCAAUCAGAUAUCCUCCUUCACUGAAGUCGAUACAGGGAAUGUCACAUCUAUAACACUAUCUUAUUGUGACUCCCAGGCAAGAGGAAAAGAGAGCACCAAUCUGUAACUGCAAAAAAUGGGGCAGUAAAUAUAUGAUCCCCAUCUCCCUGUCAAGAAUGGGUUCAUUUUUAAUUAUGUGCAUGAGUGUGUAUCUCUGUGUGAGGAUGCACACAUGAUUGCAUGUACUCAUAGAGGAAAGAAGAGGAAGUCAGACCCACUUGGAGCUAGAGUUCCAGGUGGUUGUGACGGGUGCCAGGAAAUUAACUCCAGUCUUCUAAGAAGACAGCAUGUGCUCUGUCCAAUUUGGCUUCCUAUUACUAUGAUAAAACACUGUGGCCCAAAGUAACUUGGGAGUAAAGGAUUUGGUUUUUUGUAUACCUCCCCAUCACAGUGCAUCAUUGAGGGAAGCCAGGGCAGCAACUUGAGGCAGAAAUCUGGAGGCAGGAACCAAGACAAAGACGCCAUGGAAGAGAGCUGCUCACUGCCUGGCUCCCUCUGGCUUGCUCAUUCUGCUUUCUUAUACCACUCAGGACCACCACUGCCCAGGGAUGGCACCACUCACAACUAGGUUGGACCUUCCCACAUCAAUCACUAAUUAAGAAAAUGCCCCAUAGACUUACUUUUAGCCAAUCUGAUGUAGAUAAUUCUCAUCGAAGAUCCCCUCUUUCUUGUGUCAAUUUUAGCUAGUUUUGAGCUGAAUAAAUAAAU